UACAGAGGUCCCAAGCGUUGUUCGGAUUCACUGGGCGUAAAGGGUGCGUAGGUGGCGAGGUAAGUCGGAUGUGAAAUCUCCGAGCUCAACUCGGAAAUGGCAUUGGAAACUACCUUGCUUGAGGGUCGGAGGGGGGACUGGAAUACUUGGUGUAGCAGUGAAAUGCGUAGAUAUCAUUUGGAACGCCAAUGGUGAAAACAGCUCGCUGGGGUUGUGCUGACACUGAGACACGAAAGCCAGGGGAGCGAACGGG
Molecule: ribosomal RNA, 253 nt
Filed under: uncultured bacterium
Lineage: Bacteria
Description: partial 16S ribosomal RNA
Rfam family: Bacterial small subunit ribosomal RNA
Source: RNAcentral